CUGGCAUCAUGCUCAGGGACAUGUGUGUUGGUCCGUCUGUUGCAGAUGAAGACCACUUACCAAGACACUUAAGGAGUUCUUAGCAGAUGAAACAAUUCUAAAAGUAGGGGUUGGUCCCAUAGAAGACAGUAAUUAUCUUGCAGCAGAUUACAGCAUACAGGUCAAAGGUUGUGUUGAUCUGCGGCACCUAGUCCUCAUGAGCCACAAUUUGUCCCCGGAGCCAAAGUCUAAGUUAAAACCAAAAAG
Penaeus monodon (black tiger shrimp) is the source of this 246-nucleotide long non-coding RNA. RefSeq lists it as uncharacterized. Lineage: Eukaryota; Metazoa; Arthropoda; Malacostraca; Decapoda; Penaeidae. The transcript is spliced from 3 exons. The record is from RefSeq and is a predicted model, not a curated record.